CCCCAGGUCAGGCGGGA
Molecule: ribosomal RNA, 17 nt
Filed under: Euryops spathaceus
Lineage: Eukaryota; Viridiplantae; Streptophyta; Magnoliopsida; Asterales; Asteraceae
Description: partial 26S ribosomal RNA
Source: RNAcentral